Mauremys reevesii (Reeves's turtle) is the source of this 672-nucleotide long non-coding RNA. RefSeq lists it as uncharacterized. The transcript is spliced from 3 exons. The record is from RefSeq and is a predicted model, not a curated record. NCBI's taxonomy places the organism in Eukaryota, Metazoa, Chordata, Testudines, Geoemydidae.
CGCCAGCUCUCCGCCCCGGGGAGACCAGCCACCAGCCAGGCUGCGUGUGGAACCAGGGGCAGCUCCGGUGCAUCUGCCAGAGGCAGGAGGCCAGGACCCACCACACUCACCCCGAGAGCCAGACUUUCCCGUCCCCGGAAGUGAAGACCCUUCGCUGCCCCGGUCCCUGGCUCUGCUACCUACAGAAAUGUCCCCUGGAGCUCUCACAGCGUGAGCGACGCCAGCAGGAGUGAGAACGGCGUUGCCCGCUCAGCACCAGUGCUGGGUAGAGCUGUGGACCCCCGGGGUUUCCCUGCCGCUGCUCCGCUCCGUAACAUCCCAGCCCUGCCGGAGCAAGGGGCUGCCCCCCAGAACACACAGAAUGGAUACAAAUUGCUAUUUUGCCGGAAGACCAGCUCCCCAGGGAUUUCAUGGCUGUUGGGCAUUGUAGGUCUGUGCAGUCCAUAGCAGCAGAGAAACCCCCACGGAAAAUUAGAUCCGAGUACAGUUUUGUUCUGAGACGUGUCUGUCAAUGCUGCACAGCUCAGUGCCCUGCGUGGAUCCGCGGCACGGCUGCGAGGCGUCUAAAACCCUGUUGUACUGCCUGUUACAGAGCCAAGGUGCCCAUAGGAGGGGAGCUGGGGUCUUGUGUAUCCUUCACCAAAUUCGCACUUGAGUGAUGACAGUGGGGUG